RNAcentral lists this ribosomal RNA (1029 nucleotides) under Tephritis divisa. Its description in RNAcentral is "partial 16S ribosomal RNA". The record is from RNAcentral. Lineage: Eukaryota; Metazoa; Arthropoda; Insecta; Diptera; Tephritidae.
UUGAAAAAUUUUUAUAUAAAAAGAAAAAUUAAUUAUUUGUACCUUGUGUAUCAGGGUUUAUUAAAUAAUUAAUAAAAAUAUUUAUUAAUCUCGAUUUUAUAAGAGUUAAUAAUUUAAUAAAGUUAAUGUAUCAUAAUUAUUUUUUAUAAAUUAUUGGAAAUGAAAUGUUAUUCGUUUAUAAAGGUAUCUAGUUUUUUUAGAAAUAAAUUAAAUUUAUAAAUUUUUAAUUUUAUUAAUUAUUUUAUUAGUUAAUAAAUUUAUUAAUUUUAAUAUUUUAAGGGAUAAGCUUUAAAAUAAAUUAUUAUAAAUUUAAUUAAAUAAAUUAUUUAAAAUAUAUGCAUAGAAUUAGCAAUUAUGAUAAAAUUUGUUAUAAAUUAUUUUAUUUAUAUAUUAUUUAUUAAUAUUUUAAUUUUUUAUAAAAAUAUUUUUUUUAAUUAAAAUUAAAAAGAAAUAAUGAUAAAAUUAGUAUAUAAAUUAUGUAAAAAUAAUUUUAUUUGAUAAGUUUAUAUAAAGAACUCGGCAAAUAUUUUACUCGCCUGUUUAACAAAAACAUGUCUUUUUGAGUUAUUUUUAAAGUCUAACCUGCCCACUGAAUUAUUUUUAAUGGCCGCAGUAAUUUGACUGUGCAAAGGUAGCAUAAUAAUUAGUCUUUUAAUUGAAGGCUUGUAUGAAUGGUUGGACGAAGUAUAAUCUGUUUCAUUUAAAUUUAUUAUAAAAUUUUAUAUUUUAGUAAAAAAGCUAAAAUUUUUUUAAAAGACGAGAAGACCCUAUAAAUCUUUAUAAUUUAAAUUUAAUUUUAUUUUUUUGAUUUAUUUUAUUUUAAUAAUUUAAAUUAUUUUAUUGGGGUGAUGUUAAAAUUUAAAUAACUUUUAAUUUUUUUUAAAUCAUUAAUUUAUGAUUUAUUGAUCCAUUAAUAAUGAUUAUAAGAAUAAGUUACUUUAGGGAUAACAGCGUAAUUUUUUUGGAGAGUUCUUAUUGAUAAAAAAGUUUGCGACCUCGAUGUUGGAUUAAGAUAUAAUUUUAGGUGUA